UAGGGUUUCCAUGAUUUUGCUCA
Molecule: non-coding RNA, 23 nt
Filed under: Arabidopsis thaliana (thale cress)
Lineage: Eukaryota; Viridiplantae; Streptophyta; Magnoliopsida; Brassicales; Brassicaceae
Source: RNAcentral